This 229-nucleotide long non-coding RNA is filed under the name Phoenix dactylifera (date palm). RNAcentral describes it as "long non-coding RNA (PDAC_LNC005918)". The record is from RNAcentral. Lineage: Eukaryota; Viridiplantae; Streptophyta; Magnoliopsida; Arecales; Arecaceae.
UGGCGGCGACCAGCCGGAGACCCGCGGCCUCCUGGCCUGCGGCACCGGCGUGGGCGUGUCCAUCUUCGCCAACAAGUUCCCCCGCGUGUACGCCAGCACCUGCUCCUCCGUCGGCGACGCCGUCAACACCCGCUCCAUCAACGCCUGCAACGUCCUCUCCGUCUCCGGCAUGUUCACCGCCCCCACCGACGCCGUCAAGAUCCUCGACGCCUGGCUUCGCACCCCCUUC